This 433-nucleotide ribosomal RNA is filed under the name uncultured bacterium. RNAcentral's name for it is "partial 16S ribosomal RNA". It matches the Rfam family "Bacterial small subunit ribosomal RNA", at positions 29 to 507 of the family's 1533-position model. The record is from RNAcentral.
AACGAACGCUGGCGGCAUGCCUAACACAUGCAAGUCGAACGAGACCUUCGGGUCUAGUGGCGCACGGGUGCGUAACGCGUGGGAACCUGCCCUUAGGUUCGGAAUAACUCCCCGAAAGGGGUGCUAAUACCGGAUAAUGUCUUCGGACCAAAGAUUUAUCGCCUUUGGAUGGGCCCGCGUUGGAUUAGCUAGUUGGUAGGGUAAAAGCCUACCAAGGCGACGAUCCAUAGCUGGUCUGAGAGGAUGAUCAGCCACACUGGGACUGAGACACGGCCCAGACUCCUACGGGAGGCCGCAGGUGGGAAUAUUGGACAAUGGGCGAAAGCCUGAUCCAGCAAUGCCGCGUGAGUGAUGAAGGCCUUAGGGUUGUAAAGCUCUUUUACCCGGGAUGAUAAUGACAGUACCGGGAGAAUAAGCUCCGGCUAACUCCGUG